CACAAGAAAAGAAAACAUAAAAAGUAUGAUGGCUUAUCAUAAUAAAAUUAUGUUAUUCCAAAGUGUUAACAUCUUGCAAACAUAUUAUUCCAAGUCAAGAUGCAAAGGCAUACAAAAUGUAUGGCCAAUUCUUAUGCCUGAUGCAAUUAUAAAGUUUGAAAAAUAUCUCUAUAGACUCUAUUUUCAACUUUCAUUUUUCCAUUGACCUAAUAUUGCAAAAUAUAUAUUACUACAUAGAAUUCUACUAUGUUAUUUCUUCUAACUUCUUAAAUAUAUUUUAUUUAUUUUUUACUAAUUCUUUUUAUCCAAACAAAUUUUAAAAAAACAUUGUUUUCUUAAACCCCUCUAACUCAAAUGAAAUAAUUCCCUCUCUCUCUCCCCCGAUCACCCUCCCAAACCCCCCUCUCUCUAGCUGCCACCACCAGCACCUCCUCCAGAACCUUCUCCAGAGUCACCGCCAAGCCCUCUGCCACCACCACCCCGCCAAGCCCUCCCCCACCAUCACGCUAUAAAAUCUGGUCUUUUCCCGAAUCAUGGGCUUUCGUUUCAGUGACUCCAUCCUUAUUUGUUUGAGUGAAGGAGAAUAGAAGAUUCGAAGCUUUGAAGGUGGAGAAAUGAUAAAAUGGUCAGCAUUUGAUGCAUUUAGGGGAAUCGCCUGGAGGAGUGAGUUGCCGGAGGAUUAACUGCGUUGUUUCCGUGACCGUUCUGCAACAUAAUAGUGGAAAGGACUAAAGUUAAUGGAUCAGUGUUGAUUAAUUCAAUAUGGCGUAGAGCCCUUGAAGGCCUUGUUUUAUUCCGGUUAAGUUAACGGAAAGGCGUUUUCAGGACUUUAUAUCCAUUUCCCGGAAGCUUCUAGCCUAAUUCAUGUCUUAAAAAGUCAAAACGGGGGCAAGUAAAUUUUGGGCACCAUAAUGCCGUUAACUCUGCAACUUCCGUCAGAGAUGUGGAUCAAAUCCCAAGCUAAAGUAAUGUAUGGAGCCUCUUUAUGCCAAACCAUGUUGCAUGGUCCUUCCCUCUCAUGGGCCACUGCAAACUCAACGUUGAUGGUUCUUCCCUUCGGAAUCCUGGUGCAACUGGCUAUAGGGGAAUCAUCAGAAAUGACACAAGUGCUUUUGUGACGGUCUUUGCAGUCCCCUUUGGUUCACCUCCAACAAUGUCGUUGCGUUUUAUGCUCUAAAUAGAGGCAUCUCUCUAACAAAGGAGCUAGGCUGCAGACCUUUGAUAAUUGAGAGUGACUCCAAAUUGUGACUCAGUGUAGUAAACCCCUAUGGAAGCUGGUGACACUUUUGUCCAAAUGCACGACUAGACUCUCGUCCUUUGCAUACCAACAGUGUCAAACGUCUCAUGUUCGUAGGGAGGCGAAAACAGCUGCUAAUUGCUUGGCAAAAGAGGGCAACCGUAUGACGGGCUCGCCCCCUAGAUGUUACACACCCUUUCAUCUUGCAUUAUAUUUCUAGCGUACCUUUAGAAAGGGAUGUUUGAUGGUUGUACUUGUAAUAUUAAGUUGUAUAGGCCUCCUGUCUAAAUGGACUAGACUUACCCUUGUUUUUGAGAAUGGGUAGAGCCUUGGCAGUAGUAUAAAGCUGAAGUCUCUUGCUCUAUUCUCACCAAAAGGGUAAGGCCGAAAUCCCCCCUCACUUACGCUUCU
Molecule: long non-coding RNA, 1648 nt
Organism: Amborella trichopoda
Lineage: Eukaryota; Viridiplantae; Streptophyta; Magnoliopsida; Amborellales; Amborellaceae
Source: RefSeq, a predicted model, not a curated record